GGGAAUCUGAGAAUGGGAAGGAGGGGCAGGCAAGUGAGGGCGAGGAGGAGGGGGAGGGGGAGGGGGAGGGGGAGGGAACUGGUGGUGUGGAGGAGGAAGGUGAGAAGGAUAAGGAUGCGGAGGUGGUGGGGGAUGAGGAUAGGCAGAGGGAGGAGGAGCGGGAGCGAUGUGGUCGGAGUGAGGAGAAGCCGCCCACUGCUGAGGAGGAGGAGGAGGAGGAGAUGGGAGAAAUGAUGACGACGGCGAUGCUGGAUACCGCAACCGGACCGAAGCCAUUCUCGCAUUGGCGGAGGUAGGGAGGUCGUUGGAGAGCUUGCCGAAGGACUUGGCUGGAGCGAUUGAGGCGGGAAGAGUUCCGGGAUCGAUUGUGCAUAGGUACUUUGAGCUUGAGAAGUCUCCGGUGUUCAGAUGGUUGCUUCAAUUUGGUGGAUUUAAGGAACGGUUGCUUGCUGAUGAUCUGUUCUUAACUAAGGUUGGAAUAGAGUGUGGUGUUGGGAUCUUUACCAAGGUUUGUGCCUGGCUCUGUGUGCUUGUAUAUGUGUGCAAUGCAAUUGUGUGAUUGAUAGAGGAUUAGUUUCUAUCUGCUUAAGUUAUUUGAGUGAUUGUUAUUUGAUGGCUUGUUAUGCUAUAUAUAGGGGAGGUGGGGAAUGGUUCUCUGAAGAAAUAACUCACCCAAAACCUAGCUCAAGGUGGAGAGUGCCCAAGGCGCACAUUACCUCUAUCCAAACCAAUGUAAUAUUAGAUAUUAACACAAACACCCGUGAAACACUUAUGGGAGGCUCCAAACAUUGGUCCGGGAGUUUUUGAAUGGGCAGAGCUUAACUUACCCUAAAAGCUAGCUUAAAGGUGGAGGAGUGCCUAGGCUUACCCUAUCCCAAACCAAAGUGGGAUUUUAACAGUUUCUAAUGUUAAGACAUGAAUUAUUGCUAAAUCUUGGGCCUUUUUAUGAAGCUUGUUCCUUCCUACAGACAUUUAGUAUCCGCUUAUUAUGAUUUGGAGUAACUGAACUUUUCAAGUUAGAACCAUGGUGGUGGAUUCUCAUGUAUGUUUGAAAAAAAUAGCUUUUUUUUGUGAACAUAUAUUUAUAAAGCUUGCAAUUUGUCUAAAUGAAUGGACAUUUAGGAUGUAUUGAUUGUUGUGAUGAAACCAUGAUGCAUUUGGUGAUUUGGAGGCUAAUAGCUUCAGCUUCAUCAUACAGGAAUUGCUGGAUUGGUAUGUAUAUUUAGAAGUUCUUCCUCUUUUUCUGUGUUUUCUUCUUUACUUUUCAUGUGGUUUUGUAAUUUGCACCUGCACAUUAGCAAUGCUUGGACAGGCUAUCAGCCCAAAAUAUGUUUCAAAAAUUUUGAAUUCAGCACUUCAUAUUUCUAAAUGGGCUUUGCAGCUCUAUGGAAUCAUUGUUAGAAUAUGGAGAAUCCCCCCACCUUCUUUCUCUUUUUCCUGUCCUUAAUACAUUUUAGUCAGGAAAGCAUAUGUAAGCCAUAGUUACCUUUCUGAAUUUCUCUUGCUUUUCAGACAGCAGCUGAAUUGGAAAAACGGAGAGAGAAAUUUGGAAAGGAGCUGGAUUUUGUUUUUGCUGAUGUGGUGAUGGCCAUAAUAGCAGACUUUAUGCUUGUAUGGCUUCCUGCUCCUACUGUUUCCCUUCGACCACCUAUUGCAGUCAGUGCUAGCCCUCUUGCUAAGUUCUUCUACGGCUGUCCUGAUAAUGCAUUUCAGGUGGCUUUGGCCGGAACAUCAUAUUCAUUUUUACAGAGAAUAGGUGCAAUAAU
This 1766-nucleotide unclassified non-coding RNA is filed under the name Hevea brasiliensis (rubber tree). Lineage: Eukaryota; Viridiplantae; Streptophyta; Magnoliopsida; Malpighiales; Euphorbiaceae. The record is from RNAcentral.